RNAcentral lists this long non-coding RNA (3087 nucleotides) under Canis lupus familiaris (dog). RNAcentral's name for it is "lncRNA (ENSCAFG00000056609.1)". The record is from RNAcentral. Lineage: Eukaryota; Metazoa; Chordata; Mammalia; Carnivora; Canidae.
UUUUCCGGAGGAGAAGAAAAUAAAGAUUUUUGGAGUAAGAAAGUAUCUAAUAAAAUAAUAGAAAACAAUAUGUUUAAAGAGUUUCGACAUUCUCACAAUACAAAAGACAUUCAGAUAAUACAUAACUCUGUUCUCUAAAAAUUGGAGCAUCUAAUUCAGUCCUGCAAAGUACUGAACUGGGACUCCACAAGCCUGUUACACAUCUGUUUAUGUAAACAUGAAAGAGCAGGCUGAGAAUCGUGGCCAUGGUUCAAUCAUUCCGGGUAGACACUGCUGGCCUCACUCCAGGGGUGCUGUGGACCAUGGUUUGAAGUGGGGUUAGUGGUGGAGACAGGACAGGCUGAGGAUUGACAGUGGUAACGUCUGCAUUUGCCCAACGGCCAGAAGUUUGUCUUGCCAUCCAAGUAAUAACCACGAUAAUAAAAACAGAAGUGAUAACAAUAAUGAUGAUGACAUAAACAGGUGAUGAAGUUGGUGUCACAGGAGAAAAAAAUAUAGAAAGACAACAUUUGUUCACUUUCACUUCUGCUAAGGCUACAGGUAUGUGAGCAGGGGAUUGCUGGAUACUCUGGAGACCCAAGAUAACCCCUCAGGACAUGCCGAAACUGGCAUAGCCUUCUCCCACCCAACAGUGGCUCGCAGAGAAGUGGGGCUCCCCAGGGAGGUUAUAAGAAAAAAAUCCCUCCUCUUCCUAGUAACCACAAGUUAGAUAAACGACGUCCAACCGAGAAAGUUGACCAACAUGAGAAUAUGCUGAGGUACCUGGGUGGCUCAGCAGUUGAGGGUCUGCCUUCGGCUCAGGUCAUGAUCCCUUGGUCCUGGGAUCAAGUCCCGCAUCGGGGUCCCCGCAGGGAGCCUGCUUCUCCCUCUGCCUGUGUCUCUGCCUCUCUCUGUGUCUUGUGAAUAAACACAAGAAAAAAUCUUAAAAAAAAAAAAUGAGAAUACACUGAAAUGGAAAUAUUUUCACUUGCAGUUAUCACUUCUUUAAUUCCUAAUGUAAAUUAUUUUCUGCUUUUGAAAACUGGUUUUGCAAUCGGUUCCUAUAAUUCUGAGAGGCAAAAAUUCCUUGAGCUUUCUUGGGACCGUAACAUGAUGGAAAGAGGGAAGUGGCUGCUCAGGUUCAGUAUCUUGGGGUUGUAUCAAGGAUCCUGACUCACAGCUCAUCACAGGAUGAUCAGCAAGGUGCCACGGCAGCAUGGGAUGGAGGAUAUAACCUGCACGAUCACUUUGUGAUGGGACAGCUGUGUGAAUAGCUGUAGACGAUUGGGGUAGGAAGCAAAGACCAAAGCAUUUUAUGAUCACUGCGGUUACAUGAAGAGGAAGUGGACUGCAGGAAGUGGAUAGUAGCCAGAAAGCAUUAAAAUCUUUAAUCAGGAAUUUCAAAUGGAUAUGAGAAGUACCUAAAUAAGGGGAAUACAUUUCCCCUUCACCCUCUCUAAUUGUUUCAUGACGAAUCAAAGCAUUAAAAUGCAGUUCUCUGAUGUGAUUCAUUAUAACAAGUUUCAUGGGUGUCAAAUCAAUUCAUUUUUUAAAAGACAUUAAAAACAGGAUUUAGAGGACGAAAUCCUUUAAAACCAUCACAAUGUAUCAUUGUGUGUGUAUAUGUGUGUGUACACAUAUGCAUACAAGAAUUAUCUUGUGCAUUUAUAAUGAAUAAGUUCAACAAAUAUAUAGAUGGAAAUCUAUUUUAUGAUGAAACCAUGCACUCUCAUUACCUGGUUAAGUAUUAAAUAUCCACCCUCAUCAAUUUCAUGAAAAUGCAUUUAUGUCGUUUCCACAUGGUGCUUGCUGAGGGCUAUAAAAGCAAGUGAUAUAGCGAGUCGUCAGCCCAUUAUUUAGUAUCUUUCCAGGCACAUAUGAAGCUUACACUCUAAGAAUAGUGUUAACACCAACAUAUUAUAUGGUUCAUAGAACUGUGUCUCUUGAGUACUGGAAGAGAUACUAUGCAGUAGGAAUUAAAAAUUAAUGUAGCAUCCUUCAUGCAAUGGCACCAAAACACAACUCUCCAUAAAAAUUAUGGAUCUUCACUUUCUAUAUCAAUUUCUAAAUUUUUCUAUUUUGUUAAAUUUCCUGUGGGUUUCACAAGUAAAGACCAAUAUUAGUCACAGAAACCUGGGGUGUAAGAUAUCAUUAUUCCAACUAGCCUAAUCUAGGCUGGCUUCCACUAUGUGAGGGAUUUAUAAAUUUGAAAUGGAAACUAAUUGGAAAGCAGAUAUGCUCUCAUCUGAAUUUCUGAUGAUGCCAUUUUGCAGGCCAAGCUUCCUUUUAGGCAAGGAAUUUUGUCCUUUACAUCAGGCCUCAAAUAGCUCCAUCUAUUUAGCCACCAUCAUCAGAAAUUCUGAGACAUGCCAGAGCUCAGAGUGAAACAGGUGCAUCUGCAUACAGCCGUCUGAGGGAUACACACCCAGCCCCAAGCACAGCUGGGAUCUGGUAAUAAAUGCUUGGCAGGCUGGCAUUUAUCAACUGUGUCCCUAAUCUCAGAGAUAACCAAGCAGAAUACCAUGGCCACCUGCCAUGAACUCACAGCCAUAAGUUUUCUGGCCUGGGCUUUGUCCUGAUAGGUCCAUGGGUAGCACUAAAACACACACAAAAAAGGAUAAGGUGGGACAAGGCUAGGAAUGAAUGAAAGUUACAGUUAUAUAGACAGUAUGGAACUAAACAUGGUCUGUAGUUCUUAUUUGGAGACCUGAAACACAUGGAUGUAAUUAAUUAUCAGUGUCAGAAAAUCUUUUUCACUCCUGGCAAAGGGCAAAGAAGUCUAUUACUCUGAGAAAGUUUAAUUUUAAUCUUAUGUUGGGACUGCUAGCAAAACUAUUCAAACAAUCACAUGAAACCAGAAUCUGCAUGUCUUUUGACUCUGACACUGGCUAAAAGGUAUUGCUAGGCUUUUCUCACUAAAUAUGAACAAGAUUACCAAUGGGUUAUAUCCUGGUAGGCCUACCUUCUACUUUCAUGUCAAAUUUUAAAAUAAAGCAUUUUAUAACCUGAAAGAGCCUCAGCCUUGUCUUAAACAAGUUAUAGUCUACAUUCUAAAAUUAAAAAUGAAAUCGUAUACACAGAAGUGAUAUAGAAAUCAGAACCAAAAAA